This 69-nucleotide transfer RNA is filed under the name Bos taurus (domestic cattle). It matches the Rfam family "tRNA". Rfam says of the family: Transfer RNA (tRNA) molecules are approximately 80 nucleotides in length. Their secondary structure includes four short double-helical elements and three loops (D, anti-codon, and T loops). Further hydrogen bonds mediate the characteristic L-shaped molecular structure. tRNAs have two regions of fundamental functional importance: the anti-codon, which is responsible for specific mRNA codon recognition, and the 3' end, to which the tRNAs corresponding amino acid is attached (by aminoacyl-tRNA synthetases). tRNAs cope with the degeneracy of the genetic code in two manners: having more than one tRNA (with a specific anti-codon) for a particular amino acid; and 'wobble' base-pairing, i.e. permitting non-standard base-pairing at the 3rd anti-codon position. The record is from Rfam by way of RNAcentral. Lineage: Eukaryota; Metazoa; Chordata; Mammalia; Artiodactyla; Bovidae. RNAcentral also lists the same sequence under 5 other names.
CCUGGUGGCUCAGUGGUAAAAGAAUCUGCUUGCAAUGCAGGAGACCCAGGAUCAAUCCCUGGGUCAGGA